RNAcentral lists this ribosomal RNA (468 nucleotides) under uncultured bacterium. RNAcentral describes it as "partial 16S ribosomal RNA". It matches the Rfam family "Bacterial small subunit ribosomal RNA", at positions 28 to 507 of the family's 1533-position model. The record is from RNAcentral.
GACGAACGCUGGCGGCGUGCUUAACACAUGCAAGUCGAACGGAAAGGCCCUGCUUUUGUGGGGUGCUCGAGUGGCGAACGGGUGAGUAACACGUGAGUAACCUGCCCUUGACUUUGGGAUAACUUCAGGAAACUGGGGCUAAUACCGGAUAGGAGCUCCUGCUGCAUGGUGGGGGUUGGAAAGUUUCGGCGGUUGGGGAUGGACUCGCGGCUUAUCAGCUUGUUGGUGGGGUAGUGGCUUACCAAGGCUUUGACGGGUAGCCGGCCUGUGAGGGUGACCGGCCACAUUGGGACUGAGAUACGGCCCAGACCCCUACGGGAGGCAGCAGUGGGGAAUAAUGCACAAUGGGCGGAAGCCUGAUGCAGCAACGCCGCGUGCGGGAUGACGGCCUUCGGGUUGUAAACCGCUUUCGCCUGUGACGAAGCGUGAGUGACGGUAAUGGGUAAAGAAGCACCGGCUAACUACGUG